GUCAAAUCAUCAUGCCCCUUAUGACCCGGGCUACACACGUAACUACAAUGGCGGCGAACAACGGGAAGCGAAACCGCGAGGUGAAGCAAAUCCCCAAAAGCCGUCUCAGUUCGGAUCGCAGGCUGCAACCCGCCUGCGUGAAGUCGGAAUUGCUAGUAAUCGCGAAUCAGCAUGUCGCGGUGAAUACGUUCCCGGGCCUU
This 200-nucleotide ribosomal RNA is filed under the name uncultured prokaryote. RNAcentral describes it as "partial 16S ribosomal RNA". It matches the Rfam family "Bacterial small subunit ribosomal RNA", at positions 1184 to 1382 of the family's 1533-position model. The record is from RNAcentral.